Molecule: transfer RNA, 85 nt
Filed under: Brevundimonas sp.
Lineage: Bacteria; Pseudomonadati; Pseudomonadota; Alphaproteobacteria; Caulobacterales; Caulobacteraceae
Description: tRNA-Leu
Rfam family: tRNA
About the family: Transfer RNA (tRNA) molecules are approximately 80 nucleotides in length. Their secondary structure includes four short double-helical elements and three loops (D, anti-codon, and T loops). Further hydrogen bonds mediate the characteristic L-shaped molecular structure. tRNAs have two regions of fundamental functional importance: the anti-codon, which is responsible for specific mRNA codon recognition, and the 3' end, to which the tRNAs corresponding amino acid is attached (by aminoacyl-tRNA synthetases). tRNAs cope with the degeneracy of the genetic code in two manners: having more than one tRNA (with a specific anti-codon) for a particular amino acid; and 'wobble' base-pairing, i.e. permitting non-standard base-pairing at the 3rd anti-codon position.
Source: RNAcentral
GCGGAUGUGGCGGAACUGGUAGACGCACUGGAUUUAGGUUCCAGCGCUGAAAGGCGUGGAGGUUCGAGUCCUCUCAUCCGCACCA